GCCCAGACUCCUACGGGAGGCAGCAGUGAGGAAUAUUGGUCAAUGGGCUAAGGCCUGAACCAGCCAAGUCGCGUGAGGGAAGACGGUCCUAUGGAUUGUAAACCUCUUUUGUCGGGGAGCAACGAGGCCACGUGUGGCCGAAGUGAGAGUACCCGAAGAAAAAGCAUCGGCUAACUCCGUGCCAGCAGCCGCGGUAAUACGGAGGAUGCGAGCGUUAUCCGGAUUUAUUGGGUUUAAAGGGUGCGUAGGCGGAACAUUAAGUCAGCGGUAAAAUGGCGGGGCUCAACCCCGUCGAGCCGUUGAAACUGGCAGACUUGAGUUGGCGAGAAGUACGCGGAAUGCGCGGUGUAGCGGUGAAAUGCAUAGAUAUCGCGCAGAACUCCGAUUGCGAAGGCAGCGUACCGGCGCCAGACUGACGCUGAGGCACGAAAGCGUGGGGAUCGAACAGGAUUAGAUACCCCAGUA
RNAcentral lists this ribosomal RNA (465 nucleotides) under uncultured bacterium. Its description in RNAcentral is "bacterial SSU rRNA". It matches the Rfam family "Bacterial small subunit ribosomal RNA", at positions 329 to 792 of the family's 1533-position model. The record is from RNAcentral.